Molecule: transfer RNA, 76 nt
Filed under: Candidatus Saccharimonadota bacterium
Lineage: Bacteria; Candidatus Saccharimonadota
Also listed under: 1 other name
Description: tRNA-Ile
Rfam family: tRNA
About the family: Transfer RNA (tRNA) molecules are approximately 80 nucleotides in length.
Source: RNAcentral
GGGGGCAUAGCUCAGUGGUUAGAGCAGGCGGCUCAUAACCGCUUGGUCCCUGGUUCGAGCCCAGGUGCCCCCACCA